This 76-nucleotide transfer RNA is filed under the name Methanobacteriota archaeon. RNAcentral describes it as "Euryarchaeota archaeon tRNA-Asp". It matches the Rfam family "tRNA". From Rfam's summary of the family: Transfer RNA (tRNA) molecules are approximately 80 nucleotides in length. Their secondary structure includes four short double-helical elements and three loops (D, anti-codon, and T loops). Lineage: Archaea; Methanobacteriati; Methanobacteriota. The record is from RNAcentral.
GGUCCGGUAGUAAAGCGGUUAAUACGCCCGCCUGUCACGCGGGAGAUCAUGGGUUCGAUUCCCAUCCGGACCGCCA